This 602-nucleotide ribosomal RNA is filed under the name uncultured bacterium. RNAcentral describes it as "bacterial SSU rRNA". The stretch from base 1 to 521 matches the Rfam family "Bacterial small subunit ribosomal RNA", at positions 338 to 873 of the family's 1533-position model. The record is from RNAcentral.
CCUACGGGAGGCAGCAGUGGGGAAUAUUGGGCAAUGGAGGAAACUCUGACCCAGCGACGCCGCGUGCGGGAUGAAGGCCUUCGGGUUGUAAACCGCUUUCAGCAGGGAAGAAGCGAAAGUGACGGUACCUGCAGAAGAAGCACCGGCUAACUAUGUGCCAGCAGCCGCGGUAAUACAUAGGGUGCAAGCGUUGUCCGGAAUUAUUGGGCGUAAAGAGCUCGUAGGUGGUUCGUCACGUCGGAUGUGAAAAUCUGGGGCUUAACCCCAGACCUGCAUUCGAUACGGGCGAGCUUGAGUAUGGUAGGGGAGUCUGGAAUUCCUGGUGUAGCGGUGGAAUGCGCAGAUAUCAGGAGGAACACCAAUGGCGAAGGCAGGACUCUGGGCCAUUACUGACACUGAGGAGCGAAAGCGUGGGGAGCGAACAGGAUUAGAUACCCUGGUAGUCCACGCCGUAAACGGUGGGCACUAGUUGUGGGGACCUUCCACGGUCUCUGCGACGCNGCUACGCAUAGUCGCCCGCCGUCGGGAGGUACGAGUCGCGAGAGUUAAACUACGAAGAGUAGUAGACGUGAGAGACGCGACGACGACGACGACGGAGGAGG